AAACUACAAAGAACCAUGUAAUAUCAAGGGCUAAAGAUGGAGAAUAUUAAAUCAUCACGAAACUAUAAGUACAAGAUAUUUUAUGUACGAAGUUGAACCACUUAGUUUCAAUGAUAUUAUAAACACCCUACCUAUGGUGUUGUUAUAAGCAAUUCUGCCGAUUGCCCUAAUGAUUAAGCAGCUUUAAAUAAUCUGAAAAAGAAACUGGCAUUCCGUGAAAAAUAUAAUGUUACUGAUGAGAUGGUACUUCCAUUUGAACCUGUGAGUAACUUAUGUUAGAUUUUCAAUAAGAUCUGUAUAUUAUGUAUAAUAAUAUUUAAAAACUAUAAUAAUGUUUAGAAGUAAUUUUUAUUAGAUACCUAUUAUUGAAUCCCAAAUUUUGGAAACUAAUGUGCAGUAACAAGUACAAAAGUCAAAAUGAUGUAGAAAAUUACAAAUUGAUACUUAUAGUAGGAUAAUAGAAAUGACAAAAAGUGCAAGAUGUUAAAAAAUCUUUACAAAAAUAACUUACAGACUCAGAAGAAGCUGUUAAUUAUUAUGAACCCGAAAAAGUUGGCAUUAAAGAGCAUGAAUACUUACCAUGAGAAAGUUAGGAAAAACUUUAUGUCUUGAUUACUGGCUACACGAAUAUGCUUGUUUUGAAUUUAUGGAUUAGGAACAAUAUUGCCAUGAGACGAAUAUUGAUUGAUUGAGUCUCUAUCAGAUUUCACAAAUACUAUUUAUUAAUACCCAG
This is a long non-coding RNA of Acyrthosiphon pisum (pea aphid), 733 nucleotides long. RefSeq lists it as uncharacterized. The record is from RefSeq and is a predicted model, not a curated record. The transcript has 4 exons. NCBI's taxonomy places the organism in Eukaryota, Metazoa, Arthropoda, Insecta, Hemiptera, Aphididae.